UGGGGAAUUUUGGACAAUGGGCGAAAGCCUGAUCCAGCAAUGCCGCGUGUGUGAAGAAGGCCUUCGGGUUGUAAAGCACUUUUGUCCGGAAAGAAAUCCUUGGCUCUAAUACAGUCGGGGGAUGACGGUACCGGAAGAAUAAGCACCGGCUAACUACGUGCCAGCAGCCGCGGUAAUACGUAGGGUGCAAGCGUUAAUCGGAAUUACUGGGCGUAAAGCGUGCGCAGGCGGUCUGCUAAGACCGAUGUGAAAUCCCCGGGCUCAACCUGGGAACUGCAUUGGUGACUGGCAGGCUAGAGUAUGGCAGAGGGGGGUAGAAUUCCACGUGUAGCAGUGAAAUGCGUAGAGAUGUGGAGGAAUACCGAUGGCGAAGGCAGCCCCCUGGGCCAAGUACUGACGCUCAUGCACGAAAGCGUGGGGAGCAAACAGGAUUAGAUACCCUGGUAGUCCACGCCCUAAACGAUGUCAACUAGUUGUUGGGGAUUCAUUUCCUUAGUAACGUAGCUAACGCGUGAAGUUGACCGCCUGGGGAGUACGGUCGCAAGAUUAAAACUCAAAUGAAUUGACGGGGUCAUAGCUGUUUCCU
RNAcentral lists this ribosomal RNA (586 nucleotides) under uncultured bacterium. Its description in RNAcentral is "partial 16S ribosomal RNA". It matches the Rfam family "Bacterial small subunit ribosomal RNA", at positions 355 to 1375 of the family's 1533-position model. The record is from RNAcentral.